CUUCCACCCUCCUGACUCUGGACAUCCCAGGAGUGGGUGAGAUGUGAGCUGGGCCUGACUGUGGCCUUCUCACCCUCUACCUCAAAGCUGGAAAAGUUCCUGAGGUAACCUGACUUCUCUGAGCUGUCCUGAGUCACAAGACAGGCUUAUGUUUGGGCUCAAGACAGGGCCAAAGAUAGGCCCCUCACAGGACUCUCAGACUCCCUCUGCCACACAAA
Molecule: long non-coding RNA, 218 nt
Filed under: Bos taurus (domestic cattle)
Lineage: Eukaryota; Metazoa; Chordata; Mammalia; Artiodactyla; Bovidae
Description: long non-coding RNA NONBTAT023189
Source: RNAcentral